UACGGAGGAUGCGAGCGUUAUCCGGAUUUAUUGGGUUUAAAGGGUGCGUAGGCGGGAUGCCAAGUCAGCGGUAAAAAUGCGGUGCUCAACGCCGUCGAGCCGUUGAAACUGGCGUUCUUGAGUGGGCGAGAAGUAUGCGGAAUGCGUGGUGUAGCGGUGAAAUGCAUAGAUAUCACGCAAAACUCCGAUUGCGAAGGCAGCAUACCGGCGCCCUACUGACGCUGAGGCACGAAAGCGUGGGUAUCGAACAGG
RNAcentral lists this ribosomal RNA (252 nucleotides) under uncultured bacterium. RNAcentral's name for it is "partial 16S ribosomal RNA". It matches the Rfam family "Bacterial small subunit ribosomal RNA", at positions 524 to 776 of the family's 1533-position model. The record is from RNAcentral.